RNAcentral lists this ribosomal RNA (460 nucleotides) under uncultured bacterium. RNAcentral's name for it is "partial 16S ribosomal RNA". It matches the Rfam family "Bacterial small subunit ribosomal RNA", at positions 338 to 795 of the family's 1533-position model. The record is from RNAcentral.
CCUACGGGCGGCAGCAGUGAGGAAUAUUGGUCAAUGGGCGGAAGCCUGAACCAGCCAAGUAGCGUGCAGGAUGACGGCCCUACGGGUUGUAAACUGCUUUUAUAUGGGAAUAAAAUGUUCCACGUGUGGGAUUUUGUAUGUACCAUAUGAAUAAGGAUCGGCUAACUCCGUGCCAGCAGCCGCGGUAAUACGGAGGAUCCGAGCGUUAUCCGGAUUUAUUGGGUGUAAAGGGAGCGUAGGUGGAUUGUUAAGUCAGUUGUGAAAGUUUGCGGCUCAACCGUAAAAUUGCAGUUGAAACUGGCAGUCUUGAGUACAGUAGAGGUGGGCGGAAUUCGUGGUGUAGCGGUGAAAUGCUUAGAUAUCACGAAGAACUCCGAUUGCGAAGGCAGCUCACUGGACUGCAACUGACACUGAGGCUCGAAAGUGUGGGUAUCAAACAGGAUUAGAUACCCCGGUAGUC